GGAAGAUCCACCGGCGCAGCGUCUUUCAAGACUUCUCCGUUAAAUUGUCGAUUUUUCCUUUAUUUCGCGAAUAAAGACAUAUUUUGGAUGGAUCAACAUUGAAGACAAACAAGCAACAGAGCUAACGACAGCGACUGGCCAGGAUGGUGCGGGCAAGCUGCGAACACAUGUACAACUUUUGGGGGAGAAAAUGGAGCCAAGCAUAUCCGGCCGCGCUGUAGACCAUGAUCCGGUCCAUGUAUUAUAGUUGACCAGAGGGACGCAUCAUGACGUUACGGAGCAGGAGCCGCAAGAUUGGGACAAGAGAUGGCGUGGUAACCAAGGACAGUGCCAAAAGGAGAUGUAAGAAUGACAGAGUGAGGACAGUAGAUACAUUUACCACUAUUCUGACAGCAGACUUAUGCAAGGGUAUGGCUGUCUUGGGAGCAGUGUUUGCAGACUUGAUGCAAAUGACCCGAGCGGAAGAACGAAGCUGGCAAUGCUGGCUUGAGAGGUGUGCCGAAGAAUCUCCCUUGGAUCAAGCCCAGGCCUUAUUGUGUGGUGGCCAGCAGUGUUAAUCAGAUGAUGACAAUGUUACAAUGUGUUGACAAUUUGUCAACUUUACCUCAGUAUUUAAAUAGGCCAAUGAAUGACAAGGACAAGGGGGAAGAAACUAGAAACUGAAGUCUUCACAAAAUGCCUAAGUAGCUGGGCGAGCUAUGCUACCUCGAUUAGAUAUUGAGAAGAUGUACGCUUCAGCAUGAUAUCAAGGAGUCUUUCGUUCAGUUAUGGCCUACAAAUACUUGCAUGAUAAUUCUAGAUGCUUUUUCAGCCUGUUUCAAGAUCAGGGGCGUGGCUGUCACUGAGGUUGUCCAAGACAGACCGAUGCUAUAUCACUGUUGAAAAAGACAAAGCGGUUUGGUUUGGCAUGGCUAAGUAUUGACUGACAUUAACUGUCAAAAUGGUGUGACUUAUUACUUGCCUGUUGUCUGAGAAACAGUAAUGCCAGUCAUUGGACAUGUGACAGUGACAGCUUAAUUGACAACACGGGAACAAAAAUUUGAUGUCGAGCCAAGGAUAACACAAAGUUGGCACCAUAUUGGAUUUACAGACCGACUGUACAAACUUGGCAACAGCAAAAUAAGCCAGUGACAGGAUACCUAGCUACAUAUCUACCUCUGCUAUGAUGAUAAUGAAAGGAUGAAUGCCAGCAGGAUGACUAAGUGACAAACACUUUCACGUGUAAUAGCCUUAAAAAUUUAUGAUCGUUCUAAUGGUUUUGGCCUUCUGUUUCAGCGUAGGGGCCUAGUUUUAAGAUUGAAGGACAGGGAUGUCACAGAGGUCUGGAAAAACUAUUGUUAACUAGGAUGCACUCGCAUCUGGAACACCUGAUGUGAAGGAAGGCUGGGGACGCACCAAGAAAGAUAUUCUUUCCAGGCAUGUUGCCAGUGCCACAAAGAACAGAACUGACCUUGCAGUGAAAAGCGUGAGGAGUUACAAAUUCAGGCAUUCUAGUAGUUUGAGAUAUUUUUCGGCCUGCAUAGUUUCAAGGAAGAUGAGAUGGAGAGAUACAACAUACAUGGAGAGACAUGUGUCCAUUACAUAAAGGUCUGUGUGUGUAUCCUGAAGAGGGAUUCAGUUGACUUUUGAAGGAGCAAAUAUUUCGGCUCCUCCAUGAGAUGGCACAGACUGGAAAAGAGAAAAGCAGCUGCACCAUCGUCCUCCUGGUGGUAAGCCAAUAUCAGUCCACAUGCUAAGGGUUGCAACUCCAACACCUCUAACAAGAUUUCACUGUAAUCAUCUGACUAGAGAAAAUGAUGAAGGAAUCUACAAUGUCGUUGCAAGGACAAGCAAUCUUAGAAUAAAAGCACCUCAACGGGAAAACCACUGGUAAUUGAAGCUGGUAGAUCGCCGUGACAUCUCUCGUAAACAAGCUGGGUUAUGGACAAGGAUCACAUCAACUAAGUUCAAAUGUCUUGAACACGAUAGGGCCCCUUCCAUUCUGACUGGAAAAGACAUCUAUCAUCUUUGGUUUGUUCAUGAUCAAGGGAAUCCACAGUUUCUUUGCUGGGAAAAAUGGAAAGCAGUGGAGUUCAACAAUGGUGCGACAACAUUUCCUGUCCUAGCCAAGGACCUAAAUAUUUGAUGAUAUCAUUCUGUCGUAUUGCAAUGUCCACAAUCAUUUUAUUGUCAUCUUUUAAUGGCUGUCGUUAAUUGAAAGUUUAAGAAUGAAUAGUAGAGCGUAUUUGAAACGACCGGCCAUUUGGGAUCAAAGUCCCUGUCCGUGAUCGAGAGCGCCUCAGUCAUCAAUUGCGUGUAGACCAUUUGGCCUUGCAGCGUGCCUGGGUUAAACAUAGCCCAAGGAAACACUACGGUUAUAAAUGGAAAGGAGGAGAUCAUUGAAAUCACUUGACAGAAAACUGUGCUGAACAUCUUUUUCCUUUACUCACGUUCAGUCCUUAUCAUUAUUUCAGCUUUGGUUCACCAGUUAUACAGAACAUGCAGGACAUUGUGAACACUGAGAAUAUAACGAAGAACUGAGUGGCGCCGAAAAUACCUCAAGAUUUACUUUUUCAGCAAAGAAUGACUUUGUAGGCCUAAAGGUUUAGAAGUUAUACGUAAAUUGAAGGUGACCUUCUCAAGCGAGGAGCCAACGUCUUGGUAUUGCAGCCACUGUAGCUUAGGUAGUAUAGUGACCUACAUGAAGUUGUUUUCAGUUAUUAAAGUCCAUGGGGUUAGUCGCAUUUAACCUUGACUCUGUUGGACUGGGUCGACUGAAUGUGAUAAAAUAAUUAAGACCGAUUUACAAAUGAAAUGAAGAGUCUGCAUUUUGGUGCAACUGCAUUUCUUGCUUCGAAGCAAUAUUUUGUGGCAAUGUUCAGGUCUUUUCCUCCCGGGCAAAUCUGCAUACCAGUAAUUAUGUGCAGACUUGGCUCUUCCAGAGAUUGUAGGACUGGGUCCAUUGAAUGUAACAAAAAUAAUUGAUGCCUAUUUACAAAUGAAAUGAAGAGUCUGCAUUUUGAUGCAACUCCAUAUAACUGUCGGGUGAUUUUGCUCUGAACUUGUGACACUCUGAUCGGUCUGAAAUAAUCACUAUCCCGCCCCUCUGGGAAAAAUUUGCAGCCAGAUUGCACCAUUUCCUGUUACCGUCUGAGAGAUGGCGAUGUCAGGGGCGCAUGACGGUGGUUAAACCUAUUGCGAAUGGGCAGCACAAUUGGGUGUAGGAUAUUCAUAAACCAUUGCACACUCCUGAAUCUGCGGUGGGUUGGUACCCCACGCUACGUAAGGAGUAGGUUUGUGGGUAAGACUUGGUCCACGUGAAUGGGUCGUGCCUUAAAAAUGAUGAGAAGUUGCGAAUUGACGCCCUGUGAAGUGUCCUUCGACCAGCUAGUGCUAAUCCGGUCACUGUCUCCAGGUCACCAUGCCUCGGUCAAUGAGCGGGCGAAGCACCCAAUGGCUCCGUCAGGAGUACAUCGUCAACUUCAGCCCGUAGACAAACCGGUACGCGCACAAAUAUCUUAGCUGAGAGUGGGGGACAUCAGUAAAGUGCUUCUCAUCGGGGUAAUACAGUACCACUGUAUACAAUGACCCCAUUUUUUGUUGGAUUCAUUUCCACUGAGGAAUGGUCGAUAAUGAGAGUUUCGGGCCAGUCCGAUUGUCACCAGUCCAGAGGUUAAAAUACCUGAUAGUUAAGUGGCUUUCCCUCAAACUGUAUACUCUUUCAUGUCAAUUGUAAAUUAGUGUUGCUUGGUAGUGUUCAGGGUCUUUUUGUCAAACGGGCAUAUCUGCAUACCAGUAAUUAUGUGCAAACAUCAUUUUUGCUUUGAAGCAAUAUCGUUGCUACACUCCUAAAGCAGUGGCUGUCUUCAGGUCUUUUCUGCCUCGCGGGCAAAUCUGCAUACCAGUGAUUAUAUGCAUACUUGAGUUUUGCUUUAAAGCAAUAUCAGUGCUACACUUGUGAAGCAGUGGCAGUGUUCAGGUCUUGUCUGCCUCACUGACAUAUCUGCAUACCAGUAGUUAUGUGCAGGCUCGGCUUUUUCUUUGGAGCAGUACAGUUGCAAGAUAAAUCCUGUUUGUAAUCUUAUAAAUCAGUUGCUCAUUAAGGGCUUACGAAGGUUUUGAUGCCUUGCUGGCAUAUCUGCAUACCAGUAAAUAUGUGCAGAUUCAUUUCUUGCUUUGAAGCAAUAUUGUGGCAAUGUUCAGGUCUUUUCUGUUGCAAGAUAAAUCCUGUUUGUAAUUUUAUAAAUUAGUUGCUCAUCAAGGGCUUACGAAGAUUUUGAUGCCUUGCUGGCAUAUCUGCAUACCAGUAAAUAUGUGCAGAUUCAUUUCUUGCUUUGGCAAUUAUCUAAUAGUUAUGUGGCUUUACCUCAAACUGUAUACUCUUUCAUGUCAUUUAUAAAUUCGUGUUGAUCGUUUUACCUCGCAUCUCAUGGGCAGAAUGAACAGUCUGGUGGAGUCCUGAUGCUCCCUGAUGUUGGUCUUUGACUGGAGAUCAUAAUCACUCUGGUCAGUUCCGUGAUUCCUUUUACCACGAGCAGGCCCAUUUAGGCCUACAACCUGUCAUUGUUGUA
Lineus longissimus is the source of this 4550-nucleotide long non-coding RNA. RefSeq lists it as uncharacterized. The transcript has 5 exons. The record is from RefSeq and is a predicted model, not a curated record. Lineage: Eukaryota; Metazoa; Nemertea; Pilidiophora; Heteronemertea; Lineidae.